Long non-coding RNA from Papaver somniferum (opium poppy), 2290 nucleotides. RefSeq lists it as uncharacterized. The transcript has 5 exons. The record is from RefSeq and is a predicted model, not a curated record. NCBI's taxonomy places the organism in Eukaryota, Viridiplantae, Streptophyta, Magnoliopsida, Ranunculales, Papaveraceae.
AGAAUUCGAAGGUUCCAUUUUGCAAUUUUGGAUACACGUCAUACACCCGGAUUACCCAGUGCUCCCCCGUCUAAAAACUAAUCUCCAAACCCUGAUUUUCUUCUCUCAUAUUCGCUCCUCUCUUCGCUCCUAAUCCUCUGAAAUUCCAUGGCGGAAAGAACAGCGAAAUCCCGAGCAUGCUUCUACUAUCCCUAGUGACAGACGAUGCACACCAUAAGUUAACUGUAUUCACGUACAAAAAAAAAACAGAAAUACAAACCCAACUAUUGUAUUGUCUAUCGAUAAAGGUAUUGCUUUUAAUCAGUCAAGGUAUUAAGGUAUUUCUUUUAACCACUCAAGGUAUUAUUUGUGCGAAUUCUUAUAAAUCCAGAAGUUUUUUUUUCUUUUGAAUUUUGAUCAUCUCACAUUGUUUAAAUAUAAACCUAAUCAGAAACCCUAAACAACUUAAGAUCGCUCUUCCACUUCCUGUUGUUUAUUUUAGAAUCGACCCUUAAAAAUAAAUCGAUCUAAUUCGGGUCUUCAUAUCUCUUUGCGGGUAUCAUAAUGUUGGUUUAUAAAUUAAUUAUGAAAGGCGAGGAGAAAAUGGGGUUACUUGCAUACACGUUGCAGGUCAAUGAUAUGUUGUUGUAAAAUUAGUUGAGAAAAUCCCUUUGUAUCCAUUGAUUAUUAACUGCGACUCAUAAAUGAUAUGUCGUUGUAGAAUGCUUUCCAUUAUAUAAUUUUAUUCUAAAAAGAAAUAUAUGCUCCUGUUUUAGUUUAUCUUAUAGGCUUUUCCCAUGUCUGCAUACAGUGAGAAAGAUAAUUUAUCUGCUAUCAGGUAUGAGCUGGAUUGUUGCUGUGAAGGUUUCAAUGUUUUGCAUGUAUGUCCUGUGUUCGAGUUCAAAUGUCAUUUCUAUUCAGUUCUUUGUCCAUUAGAGACUUCGGUAACAAUAUGUAUGUGUUUGUUAUUCCCUUACCGUUGUACGUAUGCUAAUGUUAAUAUUCCCUACUAUUACAGGUCUGAUGAGGUUAUAAGAGUAGAAUUUCGCUUAGUGUUAGUAUUUGCUGGCAUUUGCGGAGUAACAUUAUUAAUUUAUUAUGGGAGGAUAACAACAUUCUUGGAUCUCGGCCACCUGUGAAAAUGGAUAGCCAUGUCUAUCAAGAUUAAGUGGUUCCCAAAGCUAUAAGUCUAUGACUCCUUACUCGAAAGACUAUUGUUUCGGCUCCAACUAGGGAGAGGGCCAUUGAACAUAUGAAUAGGACUCUCAGUAGCACUGUUAUUACAGGGGUUCCUACGAUCAUUCAACUGUAAAAAAUAAUAUUAGACAUUGAGGUAUAUGAACUCUUUAAGAUAAAUAUGAACUAAAAAUAAGCGUAAUUUUUCAGAAAACCUAAAAGGACUUCCACUCCGUGUAACUCUGAUUUCAUACAGAAACAUGAUUAAGAGUUAGCUUUUGUAAGAUGCCAGUGCUUAUCGUUAAUGUUGGUAUCACUUCUUUCUCACUUGCAGCCACAACAAAAAUGGUGUUAUCAACACAUCCAAAAGAGAGAGUGAACAUGACUUCCUAGAGAAAUAUUUGUCAAUCCAACUUGAUUGUCACCUACAUAUUUGGCGGCCACCACUUUCUUAAUGAAUUGAGUAUUUGUUUCAAAGUUAAUAUAGAGAUACACGGUAGAGAUAGGGUAGAUGUUUAUGUUAAGAGAAGAAAAUUUCCUGUUGAUAAGAUUGUUCUCGAUGAUUAUGAUUGUGAAAACAGGGUCAGGAUUUCUCUUUUUCUUUCUAGCUUUACUCCGUUUCUCUUUUAAGACAAGUCAUUUUAUGAUAUAUGUUUGAUUUUAGGAAGGAUCUGAAGGGCCAUAAAAGACAGUUCCAUCUCGAAGUUCUUCAAAAAGAAGAAGAGCAGCGGAAGUUUACGAAGAGAAGGUUGUCCAAUUGAUUUCCUCUUUGUACACUCUUUGAAGGCUCUGCCAAAGAAGCUUGCAACAUCUAAUUCUAAUUUUGUUAAACCGGCAAACAACACGAGUAGGCCAGCAAUCACGGAACAAUCCAGAAAGGAGAUGAUGAGCGAGCCUUUUUACAUUCAAUCUUGAUAUGAGCGUCUAUGAGGUGACUGCCUAAUGGAUCAAUAACUACACAUAAGAGGAGCAUUUUAGCUAGCAUACAUUAUUAAAGAAAAUCGAAAGAGAUCAGUAUGUUCUUUAUAUUGUAACUGAAUGCUUGCUUAGUGACAAACAAACUCUUAUCCCACUUAAGGAUAAAAAUGUUUACAACUGAGAAAAAUAAAUCACAUUCCGGUUGGGCUUUAUUCUA